This 253-nucleotide ribosomal RNA is filed under the name uncultured bacterium. RNAcentral's name for it is "partial 16S ribosomal RNA". It matches the Rfam family "Bacterial small subunit ribosomal RNA", at positions 524 to 776 of the family's 1533-position model. The record is from RNAcentral.
UACGUAGGGUGCGAGCGUUGUCCGGGAUUAUUGGGCGUAAAGGGCUCGUAGGCGGUCUGUCACGUCGGGAGUGAAAACUCAGGGCUUAACCCUGAGCCUGCUUCAGAUACGGGCAGACUAGAGGUAUGCAGGGGAGAACGGAAUUCCUGGUGUAGCGGUGAAAUGCGCAGAUAUCAGGAGGAACACCGGUGGCGAAGGCGGGUCUCUGGGCCGAUACUGACGCUGAGGAGCGAAAGCGUGGGGAGCGAACAGG